This is a non-coding RNA of Odocoileus virginianus texanus, 459 nucleotides long. Lineage: Eukaryota; Metazoa; Chordata; Mammalia; Artiodactyla; Cervidae. The record is from RefSeq and is a predicted model, not a curated record.
CCGGGGGUGUCGGAGCGGGAAGAGCCCGCGAGAUCGUCCACGUGGGGAACCCUCGGGCCAGGAUAGGAAGGGAUAAAUGAUCCCGAAACCUUGGAACCUCUCCACCGGCAGCCGGCAGCGAGUCCUGUUUGAACCCCGAGUCUGAAUCCGGGUUUAAACCCCGGCUACGCACUCGCCGGCUGUUGACCUUGAUCAAGUCGCGUUCCUGGAAGCCAGCUUACCACCCGCCAGCAUGCACAACUGGCUUCCCCACAGAUGCCCACCAUAGAGAAUACCUUGUGCCUAGUCUGCUCUGGCUGCUUGACUGUGUUAGGGGGCAGCCUCAGAAAGCACCCCCUGGGACAGCCUGGAUUCCUCUGCUACGGGGAAAUGGAAGGACCAUCCAACUUGCAAGCCAUGAAGGCUGAUAUUGUAGCCGUGAAAUUGGACCCCAAGAUUUCUGCAAGCAAAAAUAGACAC